This 468-nucleotide ribosomal RNA is filed under the name uncultured bacterium. RNAcentral's name for it is "partial 16S ribosomal RNA". It matches the Rfam family "Bacterial small subunit ribosomal RNA", at positions 28 to 507 of the family's 1533-position model. The record is from RNAcentral.
GACGAACGCUGGCGGCGUGCUUAACACAUGCAAGUCGAACGGAAAGGCCCUGCUUUUGUGGGGUGCUCGAGUGGCGAACGGGUGAGUAACACGUGAGUAACCUGCCCUUGACUUUGGGAUAACUUCAGGAAACUGGGGCUAAUACCGGAUAGGAGCUCCUGCUGCAUGGUGGGGGUUGGAAAGUUUCGGCGGUUGGGGAUGGACUCGCGGCUUAUCAGCUUGUUGGUGGGGUAGUGGCUUACCAAGGCUUUGACGGGUAGCCGGCCUGGGAGGGUGACCGGCCCCAUUGGGACUGAGCUACGGCCCAGACUCCUACGGGAGGCAGCAGUGGGGAAUAUUGCACAAUGGGCGGAAGCCUGAUGCAGCAACGCCGCGUGCGGGAUGACGGCCUUCGGGUUGUAACCCGCUUUCGCCUGUGACGAAGCGUGAGUGACGGUAAUGGGUAAAGAAGCACCGGCUAACUACGUG